This 478-nucleotide long non-coding RNA is filed under the name Heterocephalus glaber (naked mole-rat). Its description in RNAcentral is "lncRNA (ENSHGLG00000036324.1)". The record is from RNAcentral. Lineage: Eukaryota; Metazoa; Chordata; Mammalia; Rodentia; Bathyergidae.
GGAAGGGUUUGGAGCACUCAGUAUUUUUUGGCAAGCCUUCCACCACCCUUCCUGUCCCUUCAGUGCUGGCCCAUCCUUGGAGCUGGGCUAGAUGACCGACUUCCACCAUGAAGGGGAAGCUGCCUACCUAGGAAGCAAAGAGAGAUGGAAAUGAAGACCACGACUGAGGACCAAGCUUUCAACACAUGGGCCAUUAGGGGACAGCUGGUUUUAACCUCAACAUAAAACAGGGGCCCUUUCCCCAGAGCCCCUUCCACUUCCCACCUGCCUCUUCCCACAGUUCCUCCUCCUGAGGUCCUGACCAUCUUCAGAGAUUUAAACAUUUAAAGAGUAGUAAAGGAAGAGGUGAUUAAGACCCAGACUCACACAGGUGACCGUGUGAAGACACAAGGAGAAGGUCUAUAACCAGGAGGCUGGGGUGUGGGAUGGUCAGUGAAGCUGCUGUAGUGCUGAGCUCAGAACUUCUACCAACUGAAGG